GCUCUCACUCUCAUGAGACUGCAGAAAGGGCGCAGCGGAGCCAAAGCGACGCGUCGCCCUCCUAUGACAACAGACAACCAAAAUACCACGACCACAACCACAACCAGAACCACGACCAGUAAUGCCGGCCGCACACCACACUCACCACACCCUCAUCAUCACAAGCACCAUCAACAGGAUCACAAUGCAGGGGAUGAGUCACAAUAACGUGGCUGAAGUAUGUUGACCAAUCCACACACUAGAAAGUGAAGGGACGACGACGUUUCGGUCCGUCCUGGACCAUUCUCAAGUCGAUUGAUCGACUUGAGACCGAAACGUCGUCGUUCCUUCAUUUUCUAGUGUGUGGAUUGUUGAGACCGAAACGUCGUCGUCCCUUCAUUUUCUAGUGUGUGGAUUGGUCAACAACAGGAUCACAACACCAGCUAGGAAAUAGGUUUAUUUAAUUUAUUUAUUGUACACAGGAAGGUACAACGGGUUAUGAAUGUACAUACAUCGGUUUGUAUAUACAUUCAUACAAAUGUACAUACAUUCUUGCAAAGUCACUAACACGCAUGGCAUUCUGGCCACGUCUCAAAGCUAAAAGACAGAAUUUGCAGUAAAAAAUCAAUUACAAGGUGAAACAAUCCAUUGCGAACAGAAAUAUAUGUAGAGACAGGUACAUAAUGACAGUAUUUUACUUCACAUAAUUACUAGAUUAAUAUAAAGCGCAGAUAAUAAGUAAAGUGAUGUAGUUGUAUUUCUAGAUUGUAAAGAAUAAGGUGAUUGUGACAGCAGGUGAUUGUGACAGCAGGUGAUUGUGGCAGCAGGUGAUUGUGGCAGCAGGUGAUUGUGGCAGCAGGUGAUUGUGACAGCAGGUGAUUGUGACAGCAGGUGAUCGUGACAGCAGGUGAUUGUGACAGCAGGUGAUUGUGGCAGCAGGUGAUUGUGACAGCAGGUGAUUGUGGCAGCAGGUGAUUGUGGCAGCAGGUGAUUGUGACAGCAGGUGAUUGUGACAGCAGGUGAUUGUGGCAGCAGGUGAUUGUGGCAGCAGGUGAUUGUGGCAGCAGGUGAUUGUGACAGCAGGUGAUUGUGGCAGCAGGUGAUUGUGACAGCAGGUGAUUGUGACAGCAGGUGUUUCGGGCAACAUCCUGAAACGCUGAUACCAGUUUUUACCACUCUGUUAUAUGCGUCACAAGAUGCCACAACGUUUUGCGUGACAUGUCUAUUGUACUAACGCCGUUUGCGUCACGUGUCGACAUGACUAACAAUAAUUGCGUCACACACAAACAAACCGCAACACCGUGUCACCAUCAAGGGCCCCUGUAACUCAUCAUCUAUAAAUACAGCAUCCUAAGAUAUUGCGUAUGAUCUACAUUCUACAGCCACGACAACAUAUACAUACACAGUGGUAUACCCCCCCCCCCGCUUCUCGGUGUAUAUACCGAGAGUAUACAAAAGUAUAACUCCUGAUUGAUCAGCAAGAAAUUGUGGUGGCCUAUCCUCAAUCAUCCAUACCUGCACAAAGAGGAUUUAUAAUAGAUUAUAAUGUAUUAUUAUAUGAGUAUCCGGCAACCUUUUGUUGUAAUCCGGUUACUACGCAUCAGUUCCCGCGCACCCUCCCGGAGGGCAUGUAAGGAGGUGCAUGCGGCGGUUUCUGGUUCAGUGUGAGCCAGUCCGAGGUAGGGGUCACAGCGUCCUCCCCCCAGGCAAACGACACGUAUAGCUGCCACGUACAAACACCAACCACACGUCCACGGUCAAGAUGGUGAAGCCAAAAGACCACCCAGACCACGGCUUAGAGGCAGUGGAGACGACAGUGCGCACAUGCGCAGCCAACAGCAACAACGACUCCAGCGACAGCGACAGCAGCAGCAGCAGCAGCAGCAGCGGUCACAGCCACAGCUCAGGCGGAGGUGGCCACUCUUCAGACAAGAAGAAGAAGAAGAAGAAGAAGGACAAGAAGAAGGGUGACCACAAGCACUAACUACACGCCAGCGCCAUCUAGUUCCUGUAUAUGUUACUGAACCACUAGUGUCUUGUCCGACCCCCAGCGCCAUCUACAUGUUGAGAUGCUGAACGUGUUACUUAACGUUCAGCAGCUAGAUAGAUAGCGAUGGGUCGACUGCCACUCUCUCUCUCUCUCUCUCUCUCUCUCUCUCUCUCUCUCUCUCUCUCUCUCUCUCUCUCUCUCUCUCUCUCUCUCUCUCUCUCUCUCUCUCUCUCUCUCUCUCUCUCUUGAGUCCUUACUGAAUGAGCCGCUUGUGGGCUAUUUCAGUAAUAACUUGUGGCCAAUAUUUGUUGACGUUUUGUUCUGUCACUAGACGGUUCUAAUGUAUACAGAAAGGUGUACCCAACCUCUCGGUGUAUAUAUAUACACUCAGAGUUUACUUUUAGUCAUGAACUCUUUAUCACAACUAAAGUAUACUUUAGUUACUAUAUAGACAUAUUCCUUGUUAUUAAUAAAUAUUCCAAUAUUAUUUUAAAAAAUUUGUGUUAAAACCAAUUAAAUGUUUAAGUAAAAAUAAAAUAAAAAAAUAUAUAAUUGCAA
Molecule: long non-coding RNA, 2527 nt
Organism: Procambarus clarkii (red swamp crayfish)
Lineage: Eukaryota; Metazoa; Arthropoda; Malacostraca; Decapoda; Cambaridae
Source: RefSeq, a predicted model, not a curated record